Molecule: ribosomal RNA, 2589 nt
Filed under: Triticum aestivum (bread wheat)
Lineage: Eukaryota; Viridiplantae; Streptophyta; Magnoliopsida; Poales; Poaceae
Description: partial small subunit ribosomal RNA
Source: RNAcentral
AUGGGUUCCCUCACAAACGGUGAGGUUGCUGAUUCUGAGACUCAGGUGACUCCCUUUGCUAAAGCUGGGUUUUUCAGCAAGAUGUCAUUUUGGUGGUUGAAUCCUCUAAUGAAGAUGGGCUACAAGAAACCCCUUGAGGACAAAGACAUGCCACUUUUAGGUGCCACAGAUCGAGCAUGCAACCAGUACUCGAUGGUCAUGGAGAAGAUGAAUGGCAAGGAGUCGCUAUCACACGCCACACCAUCAUUCUUCUGGACUAUUGUUUCUUGUCACAGGCGUGCAAUCUUGGUCUCAGGAUUCUUUGCUUUGCUCAAGGUUCUCACCUUAUCUGCUGGCCCAGUAAUCCUCAAGGCGUUCAUCAAUGUAUCACUUGGGAAAGGGACCUUUAAACACGAAGGCUAUGUGCUAGCUGCGUUAAUGUUCAUCUGCAAAUUCUGUGAAUCCCUGUCACAGAGACAGUGGAAUUUCCGCACUCGGAGAUUAGGACUGCAGGUGAGGUCAUUCCUGUCAGCAGCUAUUUAUAAGAAACAGCAGAAGCUAUCAAAUGCAGCAAAAAUGAAGCACUCUUCUGGAGAAAUUUUGAACUAUGUGACGGUCGAUGCCUAUCGGAUUGGGGAAUUCCCAUUCUGGUUCCAUCAGACAUGGACAACGAGUGUUCAGCUUUGCAUUGCUCUGGCAAUUCUAUACAAUGCGGUUGGUGCUGCAAUGGUUUCAUCUUUGGUCGUUAUUAUUAUUGCUGUACUGUGCAAUGUUCCAUUGGCCAGACGGCAACACAAAUUUCAGAGUAAACUUAUGGAAGCACAGGAUGUGAGAUUGAAGGCCAUGUCUGAGUCAUUUGUUCAUAUGAAGAUCUUGAAACUUUAUGCAUGGGAAGCUCACUUCAAGAAGGUCAUCGAGGGGUUGAGAGAGGUUGAGUACAAGUGGUUGUCAGCAUUCCAGUUUAGGAGGGCAUACCAUAGUUUUCUGUGUUGGGCAUCACCUAAUUUUGUUUCUGCAGCGACCUUUCUAACAUGCUAUCUUUUGAAGACCCCCCUUGAUGCUAGCAAUGUCUUCACUUUUGUGGCAACCCUGCGUCUCGUGCAAGAGCCAGUUAGGUCAAUACCAGAUGUUAUCCGCGUUGUGAUACAAGCUAAGGUUGCUUUCACUCGAAUAUCAAAGUUCCUUGAUGCAUCUGAGCUUAACGGGCACGUUAGGAAAAAAUACAACAUUGGCACUGAUUGCCCUGUACCUAUAGCGAUGAAUUCGUGUAGCUUCUCAUGGGAUGAGAAUACAUCAAAACCAGCUCUAAAUAAUAUAAAUCUGAUAGUGAAAGCUGGAGAAAAGAUUGCAAUUUGUGGAGAGGUGGGAUCAGGAAAAUCGACGCUUUUGGCUGCUGUACUUGGAGAGAUCCCAAAAACCAAAGGCACGAUCCAAGUCUGUGGGAAAUUAGCAUAUAUUUCUCAGAAUGCAUGGAUCCAAACAAGAACCGUGCAAGACAAUAUUCUCUUUGGAUCACCGAUGGACGUGGAAAGAUACCAGAACACACUCGUGAGGUGCUCGUUGGUCAAGGACCUUGAGAUGUUGCCAUAUGGAGAUUGUACUCAAAUUGGGGAGAGAGGAGUAAAUCUUAGUGGUGGUCAGAAGCAGCGGGUCCAGCUUGCUCGUGCACUAUACCAAAAUGCAGACAUCUAUCUUCUUGAUGACCCUUUCAGUGCCGUUGAUGUCCAUACAGCCACAAGUCUCUUCAAUGAAUAUAUCAUGAGUGCUCUAUCAGACAAGACUGUUCUUUUGGUGACCCAUCAAGUUGAUUUUCUACCUGUAUUUGACUCCAUUUUGUUAAUGUCAGAUGGAGAAGUUAUCCGGUCUGCACCUUAUCAAGAUCUAUUGGCAGAUUGUGAAGAAUUUAAAGACCUUGUAAAUGCCCAUAAAGAUACGGUGGGUGUUUCGGAUCUUAAUAACAACUCAGACUCUCAAAGAGCUAAGAAAGUAUCGAUCAAGGAGACAGUUGGUAUUCAUGGAAGCAGAUAUACAGAGUCUGUGAAGCCAUCGCAGGAAAAUCAACUGAUCAGGAAAGAGGAAAGGGAAACAGGGGAUGCAGGUGUUAAGCCUUAUAUGCUUUACCUGCGCCAGAACAAAGGUUUCCUGUAUUUCUCUUUUUGUGCUAUUUCUCACAUAGUUUUCAUAGCUGGGCAAAUAUCACAGAAUUCAUGGAUGGCUGCUAAUGUUCAAAAUCCUGAUGUUAGUACACUGAAGUUAAUUUAUGUGUACAUUAUUAUUGGAGUUUGCACAAUGCUCUUCUUACUAUCAAGAUCUUUAGGAAUCGUUGUUCUUGGGAUCCAGACAUCACGAUCCUUAUUUUCCCAGUUGCUCAAUUCAUUUUUCCGUGCACCAAUAUCCUUUUUUGAUUCUACUCCUCUAGGAAGGGUUCUUAGCCGGGUCUCUUCAGAUUUGAGUAUUGUUGACCUUGAUAUUCCAUUUGCCUUUGUGUUUAGCCUUUCUACUAGCUUAAAUGCAUAUAGCAAUCUAGGGGUAUUGGUUGUUAUUACAUGGCAAGCUCUGUUUGUAUCCGUGCCUAUGAUAGUUUUGGGAAUUUGGUUACAGAGGUACUAG